Molecule: long non-coding RNA, 1029 nt
Filed under: Anas platyrhynchos platyrhynchos (common mallard)
Lineage: Eukaryota; Metazoa; Chordata; Aves; Anseriformes; Anatidae
Description: lncRNA (ENSAPLG00000022355.1)
Source: RNAcentral
GCAGAUUUCGUUGAGAUCACAAUGAACCCAUUGUUUUCCAGAGAGAAAGAAAAUGUUAUUCUGAAUGGCAGUGUACUUCACCUUUCCCAUCUGCUGUCUAUAGGCAUGUCAUGGAAACCUUAGCUCUUGCACAUUGUAAAUUCUCUCAUUGGAUUUGACCACGAUUCGGGAUCUGAUAUUUGUGGUAAAUACAGAUUACAUAGGGGAAAAUGCACACUCAUAUUUAAGCACUAUUUGGAAUCAACAAUGCCUGGGAACAUCUUGGAAAAGAUUCUUGUAUUGCUUAGAAGCUGCUGUUGUUAUUUUCCCUUGUAAGCCUUCCACAGAUUAGUCAGGCAGCUGAGUGCACUUUUAUUCCCCCAAAAAUAUCCCAGAAAAGCACUAUCAAAUCCAAAUGAGUGGCACUUGAUGUGGUAAACAGCCACCCAACGGAGAGCACAAUUAGUGAAGAGUAUACUAGCCGAAAGUUCAGAGCAUGCUAAAGACAAAACCCAUCAGAGAACAGCUGGGGAGAUGCAUGAGGCCCUUUUCACCUCAAUUUUCUUUCUGGAAGAAUUGAAAGGCAAUUAUUGAGUGCUUGAAUAGAUGUGUUUGGUUUUUUUGUUUGUUUGUUUCUUUCUUUCUUUUUUCUUUUUUCAGUGAAUGAAAUGUUGAUGAUAAUCUGGUGCACACUCAUAGGAAGCCGUCUACUUGUAGACAUACAGGGCCAUGGAGACAUACAAUGUGCACAUGAAUACAGAUGAUUCUGCAGAUUAUGGUCCCUCUCCACCAAAUGCUAUGGGGAAGCACAUACGGUAACGAGAAGAUCCGGCUUGACCCAAAACUCCACCUCAGAUCUCCGGCUGGCUUAAAGGUCAUACUUCCCAUCACAAACAAGAUGAGCUCAUUCAAGGAAAAGAGGCGAAGCUGAGAAAGAGAAGUGGGCUGUCACGUUCUGCCCACGGAAGCCCUGGGUUCCUGGCAGCUCACCACUAGCUUAUUCAAGUAAGAUUUAAUAAAGCUCAAUUAGUGCUUGUUAUUUUUGAUAGA